This 515-nucleotide ribosomal RNA is filed under the name uncultured bacterium. RNAcentral's name for it is "partial 16S ribosomal RNA". It matches the Rfam family "Bacterial small subunit ribosomal RNA", at positions 28 to 523 of the family's 1533-position model. The record is from RNAcentral.
GAUGAACGCUGGCGGCGUGCCUAAUACAUGCAAAUCGAGCGAAUGGAUUAAGAGCUUGCUCUUAUGAAGUUAGCGGCGGACGGGUGAGUAACACGUGGGUAACCUGCCCAUAAGACUGGGAUAACUCCGGGAAACCGGGGCUAAUACCGGAUAACAUUUUGAACCGCAUGGUUCGAAAUUGAAAGGCGGCUUCGGCUGUCACUUAUGGACGGACCCGCGUCGCAUUAGCUAGUUGGUGAGGUAACGGCUCACCAAGGCAACGAUGCGUAGCCGACCUGAGAGGGUGAUCGGCCACACUGGGACUGAGACACGGCCCAGACUCCUACGGGAGGCAGCAGUAGGGAAUCUUCCGCAAUGGACGAAAGUCUGACGGAGCAACGCCGCGUGAGUGAUGAAGGCUUUCGGGUCGUAAAACUCUGUUGUUAGGGAAGAACAAGUGCUAGUUGAAUAAGCUGGCACCUUGACGGUACCUGACCAGAAAGCCACGGCUAACUACGUGCCAGCCGCCGCCGUAA